This 656-nucleotide long non-coding RNA is filed under the name Bos indicus x Bos taurus (hybrid cattle). RNAcentral's name for it is "lncRNA (ENSBIXG00005006311.1)". The record is from RNAcentral. Lineage: Eukaryota; Metazoa; Chordata; Mammalia; Artiodactyla; Bovidae.
AUCCUCCUAGCUUAUUUUGUACAUAGUAGUUUGUACCUCUUAACCCCGACCCUAGCUUACCCUGCCCCCACUUUUGUAAAAUGCUCCCUUUAUUAAACUCCCCCAAAUACCCAUUUGGCAUGAACACUCUCUUCCUGUCUCCCGCACUCUGAUAAAUACAGAUGGCAUUCAUGUGACUUGAGAUUUUCCAUGUGUGAUGACUGCCUGUUUCAUCAAGUGACGUCGUUAGAGGCUGAAUCUACCUGUGCGCUGCAUGGCUGUGAUUUCACUACAACCAAGCUUUCCCUUGUGUGGGAAGGAAACACUAUGGACCUGCUGGGAGUUGCACAUCAGCCUCGAUUUCUCAGGAACCAGGAGCUCCAGCUUAUCAAGGACCUGAUGGGGUUGAUGAGCCAGCUUUAUUCUAAAUGACUGAAGACUUCUGUUCUUUUCAACAAACACAGUCCUCCAAUUAGGAGCUGCAAAUAAGAUUAUAUGCCCUGAAUAAGUCUGAAAAGGUCCUUUUAUAAUUACAAAGUUUGUGUGUGGGAAGUGGAAGCAGCAUUAAGUGUUCACUGUGGCUUUAUUAAGAGAGUGACAUGAAGAUUUCCCAAAUCUUCAUCUGAGUACUCUAAAAUGAUAAAAUAAAAAUCAUAGAAAACAGUAUGUAUAUUCCA